Molecule: long non-coding RNA, 2678 nt
Filed under: Equus asinus (donkey)
Lineage: Eukaryota; Metazoa; Chordata; Mammalia; Perissodactyla; Equidae
Description: lncRNA (ENSEASG00005037811.1)
Source: RNAcentral
CGUUUAAUUAGCACUUGUUGGUUUAAUGAAAGAGAGUGAAUUAACGACGAUCAUCCUGUUAAAAGUCCUGAGUAUAGUCCUUUUCAGAACUGCUCAGGCCUUUAGAACCCAGUUCUCUAAUGAACCCCUAUUUAAGGGUUGAAAAUUUUGUUCUUCUUUCUCCUCUGUGAUGUAUUUUUCCCCUUUUCGCAUGUGGAUACUGAAAAUUAUAAUUACUUGUUGAUGAAAAAUGCACGUUAAGAUCUCCUGAUAAAAAGCCCCUCAAUAGGUGAAAACAUGUCCUGAUGUUACUUCAAUUCCAAAAUAGUAAUCCUGGGUGGCACUACCUCAUGAGACCCUGAGGCUUUGGAGCUGUUUAUAGACUUGAAAAUUGGUUCAAUUUCAUCACCAUGAGCUGUUGCUUAUCACCUUCACUCUGACUUUCAAGUCCUCUGAGUCCGACCUUGAGCUCUCAUCUCAUGAUACCAACACCUUGAAAUAGGCUCAAACUGUUCCAUAUCCAAACAAAUAUAAGCAGGGGAGACCUCUUCUCUGACUUUUUAAUUUAAUGGAAAUAGACAAGUGACUGGCUUCUGGUUCACCUCGGCAAUAGCAGCGUGUCCUUGUUAUAGUGCACUGGACCUUGACUUAAUGUCUGGAAAAGACAUAGAAGCUUUAUCUAGCCCAAGAGAAAGCCAGGAUAAUAAUCAUAGAAUGCAAAUAUGAGAAAGAGAAUUAGAUGGGGCCUCAGAGGUCACCAGAGUUUGGCAAGGCUCCACUUUACAGAUGAGGAACUCAAGUCAUGACAGUGUAUACUAGUUUCCUGUUGCUGCCAUAACAAGUGAUCACACACUUGGUGACUUAAAACAAUACAGAUUUAUUCUUGUAUGGUUCUGGGGGUCAGAAGUCUUAUGGGGCUAAAAUCAAGGCAUCAGCAGGGCUGGUUCCUUCUAGUGGCUCCAGGGGAGAAUCCAUUCCUUGCCUCUUCCAGCUUCUACAAGCCAACGGCACUCCUUGGCUUCUGUCUGCAUCACUCCAAUCUCUGCUUCCCUGGGCACAUCAACUUCUCUCUGUCUCUGAUCCUCCUGCCUCGCUCUUGCAUGAAUCUGUGUGAUUACUUUGAGCCCACCUGAAUACUCCCAGAUAAUCUGCCUAUUUCAAGAUCCUCAAUUUAAUCACAUCAGCGAAGUCCCUUUUGCCAGAUAAAGUAACAUUCACAGGUUCUGGAGAUUAGGACAUGGACAUCUCUGGAGGCCACUGUCCAGCCUACCACGUGGGGUAAAGAGAUUUGCUUAAGUUGACACCAUGAGGAAGGAGCCAGGCCUAGGACUGAGGUCUCUCAGCUGCUCCUGUUUAUCUACCACCUGGGGGUCAGCUGAGGCCUCUCUGACAUUCCAGAUUAAGUGAAAUUGAAUCCAGCCCCAUCUCAGGUUCUGUGAGAAGGUUAAUGUGCUCUGCAAGAUUGGGCUAACUCUCCAUCAUAUCUUCUCAAGGUCACCUCUCCCCCACACCCACUGAGCUCCUGCCACCGCUGAACUCCAAAUUUCACCUGCAUCUCAACUCCUAUAUCAGUUCUCCAGGGUCUCCAAAAGGCACCUGUGAUCAUCACUUAUACUUCCAGGAAGGGGAUAAGACCCCCACAGCCCCUUUAGCCGGGAAUAUCUUUACAUAUGAAAAUAGGAGGUUUUGGAAGGAUGCUUUUUUUCCCACUCUUCUUCCACUUUUUGCUCCAAGAAAUACUUCCUACACCCAUUGCUCGCUGAAGUCUUCUAAUGGGAACAGUAUUUUUUAUUACCCAAAUACACAUCUAGUUUCCGAAUUCUCCUGGAGAAGAGCAUGCAAUAUUUCAAAUUCACAUGAAGGUGUAGUUGACUGAUAGCUGAUCCUCUCCUGAGAAGACAUUUUAAUGCAGGAAAGGCUGUGGGCACAUGAGAUGCAGGUCAGGUGAUGCAGAGACGAGCACAGAGAGGAAAGGUGGGUGCACUUCUCUGCUUCCCGCAGAGCCAGGCCCGCAUCAGUGUUGUCAACACCUCUGCUCUCUCUCUCUCCCCACCUCUUAGUGCUGUUGUUCCCUGAGUGUUGGCUUAUUCUCCAUUAUCACAGCAGGUCAUUUUCCAUGUGGCAGGAAAGAUGGCCACAGGCAGCCUCAGAUUCAAAUCCUUCCAGCAUCUCAGAGGCAGGCAGCUGUCUUCCCCUUUGGUUUCUACAAAACCGUCCCAAAGAAGGGCUCUGAUUGGCCUGGCUUGGUCAUGUGCUCACUUCUGAACCAAUCUCUGCAACCAGCAGGGGAUGGUGCACUGGUCCAGGCUGGGUCAUGUGCCCACACUGUGGCUGAAGUAGGGGGCAGGGUGCACUAUCAGAGGAAGGGACAGGAGGAAAAUCAUGCUGGGCAACCCAAAUCCAUGGCUACUUCAGCCCCCAGCUUAUCUGUGUGUGUCUGGUAGCCAUGGUCCACGGUGAAUGAAGGGAGACAAUGAUGAGACAGAAGCCAGGGAAGGAAGGAAAAUAAAGAGUGUGCCCAGAGGAUAUAGAGCCUGUGAAGGUGAAAUUGCUCCUCUUCUCCUUGGGAAGCAGUAGUUUCAAAGAGGAAAGCUGGAGAAAAACAUUCCCUCCAUGGGCAGGGAGCCCCGAGUCAUGUCACACCUCCAGCAGCAACAUGGAAUGCCUUUAGUGGGCACAGCACCUCCAGCUUCACAUUC